CAAUAGCGUAUAUUAAAGCUGUUGCGGUUAAAAAGCUCGUAGUUGGAUUUCUGUCAAGGACAACUGGUCCGCCCUCCAGGUGAGCACAUAGUUUGGUCUUGACAUCUUGCUGGAAGCUGUUGCUGCACUUGGCUGUGUGGCGCAGUGUUCAGCACUUUCACUUUGAGGAAAUUGGAGUGUUUCAAGCAGGCACAUGCCUUUGGACACAGUAGCAUGGAAUAAUUAGAUUGGGCUUUUGCUCCAAUUUGUCGGUUUCUGGAGCUGAGGUGAGUAUUAAUGGGGAUUGUUGGGGGCAUCCGAAUUUAGCCGUCAGAGGUGAAAUUCUUGGAUCUGCUAAAGACGGACAACUGCGAAAGCGUUUGCCCAGGAUGUUUUCAUUGA
RNAcentral lists this ribosomal RNA (381 nucleotides) under uncultured eukaryote. Its description in RNAcentral is "partial 18S ribosomal RNA". It matches the Rfam family "Eukaryotic small subunit ribosomal RNA", at positions 592 to 976 of the family's 1831-position model. The record is from RNAcentral.